AACUCGGCAAAUUGACACCGUAACUUCGGAAGAAGGUGUGCCUUUAGUAGGUGAACCAUUUACUUGGGGAGCCCAAUGAGGUCGCAGAGAAUCGGUGGCUGCAACUGUUUAAUAAAAACACAGCACUCUGCAAAGACGAAAGUCGACGUAUAGGGUGUGACGCCUGCCCGGUGCUGGAAGAUUAAUUGAUGGGGUGCAAGCUCUUGAUCGAAGUCCCAGUAAACGGCGGCCGUAACUAUAACGGUCCUAAGGUAGCGAAAUUCCUUGUCGGGUAAGUUCCGACCUGCACGAAUGGCGUAAUGAUGGCCACACUGUCUCCUCCAGAGACUCAGCGAAGUUGAAAUGUUUGUGAUGAUGCAAUCUCCCCGCGGAAAGACGGAAAGACCCCAUGAACCUUUACUGUAGCUUUGUAUUGGACUUUGAACAGAUCUGUGUAGGAUAGGUGGGAGGCUUUGAAGCGGUGCCGCUAGGUCUCGUGGAGCCAACGUUGAAAUACCACCCUGGUGUGUUUGAGGUUCUAACCUAGGUCCAUUAUCUGGAUCGGGGACAGUGCAUGGUAGGCAGUUUGACUGGGGCGGUCUCCUCCCAAAGUGUAACGGAGGAGUUCGAAGGUACGCUAGUUACGGUCGGACAUCGUGACGAUAGUGCAAUGGCAUAAGCGUGCUUAACUGCGAGACUGACAAGUCGAGCAGAUGCGAAAGCAGGACAUAGUGAUCCGGUGGUUCUGUAUGGAAGGGCCAUCGCUCAACGGAUAAAAGGUACUCUGGGGAUAACAGGCUGAUACCGCCCAAGAGUUCAUAUCGACGGCGGUGUUUGGCACCUCGAUGUCGGCUCAUCUCAUCCUGGGGCUGAAGUCGGUCCCAAGGGUAUGGCUGUUCGCCAUUUAAAGAGGUACGUGAGCUGGGUUUAAAACGUCGUGAGACAGUUUGGUCCCUAUCUUCCGUGGGCGCUGCAGAUUUGAGGAAGCCUGCUCCUAGUACGAGAGGACCGGAGUGGACACACCUCUGGUGUAUCGGUUGUCACGCCAGUGGCAUUGCCGAGUAGCUAAGUGUGGAAGAGAUAACCGCUGAAAGCAUCUAAGCGGGAAACUCGUCUCAAGAUGAGUCUUGCCGGGGCCUUGAGCCCCCUGAAGAGUCGUUCAAGACCAGGACGUUGAUAGGUUGGGUGUGGAAGCGCAGUAAUGCGUUAAGCUAACCAAUACUAAUUGC
This 1208-nucleotide ribosomal RNA is filed under the name wastewater metagenome. RNAcentral's name for it is "bacterial LSU rRNA". It matches the Rfam family "Bacterial large subunit ribosomal RNA", at positions 1711 to 2908 of the family's 2925-position model. The record is from RNAcentral.